Molecule: long non-coding RNA, 595 nt
Organism: Gordionus sp. m RMFG-2023
Lineage: Eukaryota; Metazoa; Nematomorpha; Gordioida; Chordodea; Parachordodidae
Exons: 3
Source: RefSeq, a predicted model, not a curated record
UAUAAAUUUUCUUUGUCAACGAUUUUCAUUUAGCAUUUUAUCAAGUUAAUAUUUACACAUUUCCUAUUUGGUACUUUUCUUAGAGAUUUUAGCAGGAUAAAUUUUAGAUGCCAAGUAACAAAACCAUAUUUAAAGUUAAGUGCAAUAUUAAAAAUUGCAAAACUUCUAAAAUAAGAAGUGACAAGAUACAUGAACAUUAUAAACAUAAACAUCCUCAUGUCAAGCCAGCUGAUAUGAAAUUUACAAAGGUAGCCAUCAAAAGAGAUAAUAAUAAUUGGGUAUCUUUAAAUUGUGAUAUUCCAUAUAAUAUCACAAAUGGAGUUGAAACCCAGUUGCAAAAAAAGACAAUAACAUCUUACUUCCAAAAAGUAAUAUUUUUAUUUAUUAUUGUAACUAUAAAUUUGUGAAUUAAUAGAAACUGAUUUAAAAUUUUACCAGAAUAAUAUUAAUAUUAAAGUAGUCAGGGUAUAGAGAAAAUAAAUUAUAUAUAUUAUUAUUUAAUGUUUUUUAACUGUUUAUCACACUAUUUUUAUAUCUAUAUAUACUUUAUAAAGUUCAAUUUAACAAUAUGUUUAAUAAGUUAAUAAUAAUAAUU